This 499-nucleotide ribosomal RNA is filed under the name uncultured bacterium. RNAcentral's name for it is "partial 16S ribosomal RNA". It matches the Rfam family "Bacterial small subunit ribosomal RNA", at positions 899 to 1397 of the family's 1533-position model. The record is from RNAcentral.
ACUCAAAUGAAUUGACGGGGGCCCGCACAAGCGGUGGAGCAUGUGGUUCAAUUCGACGCAACGCGAAGAACCUUACCUGGACUCGAAAUGUAGUUGACCGCCUCAGAGAUGAGGCUUUCCCGCAAGGGACGGCUGCAUAGGUGCUGCAUGGCUGUCGUCAGCUCGUGUCGUGAGAUGUUGGGUUAAGUCCCGCAACGAGCGCAACCCUCACCCUUUGUUGCUCGCCCGCAAGGGAAGCACCCGAAGGGAACCGCCUCUGAUAAAGGGGAGGAAGGUGGGGAUGACGUCAAGUCCUCAUGGCCUUUAUGCCCAGGGCUACACACGUGCUACAAUGGCCGGUACAAAGCGUCGCGAACCCGCGAGGGGGAGCCAAUCGCCAAAAACCGGUCUCAGUUCGGAUUGCAGUCUGCAACUCGACUGCAUGAAGCUGGAAUCGCUAGUAAUCGCGUAUCAGAACGACGCGGUGAAUACGUUCCCGGGCCUUGCACACACCGCCCGU